AUGAACGCUGGCGGCGUGCUUAACACAUGCAAGUCGAACGGAAAGGCCCAAGCUUGCUUGGGUGCUCGAGUGGCGAACGGGUGAGUAACACGUGGGUGAUCUGCCCUGCACUUUGGGAUAAGCCUGGGAAACUGGGUCUAAUACCGGAUAGGACCAUCGUUUAGUGUCGGUGGUGGAAAGUUUUUCGGUGUGGGAUGAGCUCGCGGCCUAUCAGCUUGUUGGUGGGGUAAUGGCCUACCAAGGCGUCGACGGGUAGCCGGCCUGAGAGGGUGUACGGCCACAUUGGGACUGAGAUACGGCCCAGACUCCUACGGGAGGCAGCAGUGGGGAAUAUUGCACAAUGGGCGCAAGCCUGAUGCAGCGACGCCGCGUGGGGGAUGACGGCCUUCGGGUUGUAAACUCCUUUCGCCAAGGACGAAGCGUUUUGUGACGGUACUUGGAGAAGAAGCACCGGCUAACUACGUG
This 465-nucleotide ribosomal RNA is filed under the name uncultured bacterium. Its description in RNAcentral is "partial 16S ribosomal RNA". It matches the Rfam family "Bacterial small subunit ribosomal RNA", at positions 29 to 507 of the family's 1533-position model. The record is from RNAcentral.